RNAcentral lists this ribosomal RNA (253 nucleotides) under uncultured bacterium. RNAcentral's name for it is "partial 16S ribosomal RNA". It matches the Rfam family "Bacterial small subunit ribosomal RNA", at positions 524 to 776 of the family's 1533-position model. The record is from RNAcentral.
UACGAAGGGGGCUAGCGUUGCUCGGAAUUACUGGGCGUAAAGCGCACGUAGGCGGCUUUCUAAGUCGGGGGUGAAAUCCUGGAGCUCAACUCCAGAACUGCCUUCGAUACUGGAAAGCUCGAGUCCGGGAGAGGUGAGUGGAACUGCGAGUGUAGAGGUGAAAUUCGUAGAUAUUCGCAAGAACACCAGUGGCGAAGGCGGCUCACUGGCCCGGUACUGACGCUGAGGAGCGAAAGCGUGGGUAGCAAACAGG